This 455-nucleotide ribosomal RNA is filed under the name uncultured bacterium. Its description in RNAcentral is "bacterial SSU rRNA". It matches the Rfam family "Bacterial small subunit ribosomal RNA", at positions 38 to 518 of the family's 1533-position model. The record is from RNAcentral.
GGCGGCGUGCCUAACACAUGCAAGUCGAAGCGAUUCUCUUCGGAGAAGAGCGGCGGACGGGUGAGUAACGCGUGGGUAACCUGCCUCAUACACAUGGAUAACAUACCGAAAGGUAUGCUAAUACAGGAUAACAUAAGAGAUUCACAUGGAUUUCUUAUCAAAGCUCCGGCGGUAUGAGAUGGACCCGCGUCUGAUUAGCUAGUUGGUAAGGUAACGGCUUACCAAGGCGACGAUCAGUAGCCGACCUGAGAGGGUGAUCGGCCACAUUGGAACUGAGACACGGUCCAAACUCCUACGGGAGGCAGCAGGUGGGAAUAUUGCACAAUGGGCGAAAGCCUGAUGCCAGCAACGCCGCGUGAGUGAUGAAGGCCUUCGGGUCGUAAAACUCUGUCCUCAAGGAAGAUAAUGACGGUACUUGAGGAGGAAGCCCCGGCUAACUACGUGCCAGCCGCUGC